GAUGAAGAACGUAGCGAAAUGCGAUAAGUAGUGUGAAUUGCAGAAUUCAGUGAAUCAUCGAAUCUUUGAACGCACAUUGCGCCCUUUGGUAUUCCAAAGGGCAUGCCUGUUCGAGCGUCAUUUGUACCCUCAAGCUUUGCUUGGUGUUGGGCGUCUUGUCUCUAGCUUUGCUGGAGACUCGCCUUAAAGUAAUUGGCAGCCGGCCUACUGGUUUCGGAGCGCAGCACAAGUCGCACUCUCUAUCAGCAAAGGUCUAGCAUCCAUUGAGCCUUUUUUUCAGCUUUUGACCUCGGAUCAGGUAGGGAUACCCGCUGAACUUAAGCAUAUCAAUAAGCGGAGGA
Molecule: unclassified non-coding RNA, 341 nt
Filed under: soil metagenome
Description: partial contains 5.8S ribosomal RNA, internal transcribed spacer 2, and large subunit ribosomal RNA
Rfam family: 5.8S ribosomal RNA (bases 1-120)
Source: RNAcentral